Python bivittatus (Burmese python) is the source of this 488-nucleotide non-coding RNA. The record is from RefSeq and is a predicted model, not a curated record. NCBI's taxonomy places the organism in Eukaryota, Metazoa, Chordata, Lepidosauria, Squamata, Pythonidae.
UGCACCCCUCGUGGAUGAGGACUGAAGUGGCUGCUGUACCCAUAGACUGGUUAACUCCCAUUGAAAUGAUUGCAGUUGUUCCUGGGGAUGUCCUUGAAGGAGAUGGAGAACCUGAGGUACAGAGAAUCUAAUGCUAUCAUCCAAAGCAUCUCAGUGGUCCCACUGGAAGGAGAAACUGGGAGCCCUAUAGCAACUCUUUGUUGCUAUAUUGCAUAGGUUGCAAGGAGUGAAAGCAAAUGGGAUUGUAGAUCUCUAUCUUCUGGAUGUGUUGCUAUCUUGGUUGGAGGACAAAAAGGAGAAGAUUGAGCCGCCACCUUGACAUUCUGCUGAUAUAAUUUAAAAUCCGAGGGAAUCAUAUGAAAGCAUGGAAGAGACAGAAGAAAAACACAGUACUUUGGAGGUAAGAUGCUGCACACUUUAUCAGGAAGUUGUGUUGUGUUCAAGAGAGGAGGUCCCGUACACUUUUAAUAUAUGGAUGAAGCUGCUAU